RNAcentral lists this ribosomal RNA (301 nucleotides) under uncultured bacterium. RNAcentral describes it as "partial 16S ribosomal RNA". It matches the Rfam family "Bacterial small subunit ribosomal RNA", at positions 509 to 808 of the family's 1533-position model. The record is from RNAcentral.
CAGCAGCCACGGUAAUACGUAGGUCCCGAGCGUUGUCCGGAUUUAUUGGGCGUAAAGCGAGCGCAGGCGGUUAGAUAAGUCUGAAGUUAAAGGCUGUGGCUUAACCAUAGUACGCUUUGGAAACUGUUUAACUUGAGUGCAAGAGGGGAGAGUGGAAUUCCAUGUGUAGCGGUGAAAUGCGUAGAUAUAUGGAGGAACACCGGUGGCGAAAGCGGCCCUCUGGCUUGUAACUGACGCUGAGGCUCGAAAGCGUGGGGCGCAAACAGGAUUAGAUACCCCCGUAGUCCCUGUCUCUUAUACC